This 216-nucleotide ribosomal RNA is filed under the name Triticum aestivum (bread wheat). Its description in RNAcentral is "partial small subunit ribosomal RNA". The record is from RNAcentral. Lineage: Eukaryota; Viridiplantae; Streptophyta; Magnoliopsida; Poales; Poaceae.
AUGGAUACGGCACCGUCGCCGCCGCCGCCACGCGCGGCCGGUCUCCUUCUCCGGCCAUCCGCCGCCCACUUCUCCUUCCUCUUGCUGCGGCCAUCUUAUGUCGCCGCCGCCGGCUUAAAACGGUGUUCCGACCGCCGGCUCCUCGGUACCCUACACCUCCAUGGAAGUCCGGAUCUCGCCGCCAUACUGAACUCUCCGGCUCUCUCCCCACCCUGA